GCCAGACUCCUACGGGAGGCAGCAGUGGGGGAUAUUGGACAAUGGGGGAAACCCUGAUCCAGCGACGCCGCGUGAGUGAAGAAGUAUUUCGGUAUGUAAAGCUCUGUCAGCAGGGAAGAAAGAAAUGACGGUACCUGACCAAGAAGCCCCGGCUAACUACGUGCCAGCAGCCGCGGUAAUACGUAGGGGGCAAGCGUUAUCCGGAUUUACUGGGUGUAAAGGGAGCGUAGACGGCAGUGCAAGUCUGGAGUGGAAGGCGGGGGCUCAACCCCCGGACUGCUCUGGAAACUGUACGGCUGGAGUGCAGGAGAGGUAAGUGGAAUUCCUAGUGUAGCGGUGAAAUGCGUAGAUAUUAGGAGGAACACCAGUGGCGAAGGCGGCUUACUGGACUGUAACUGACGUUGAGGCUCGAAAGCGUGGGGAGCAAACAGGAUUAGAUACCCGAGUA
RNAcentral lists this ribosomal RNA (448 nucleotides) under uncultured bacterium. Its description in RNAcentral is "bacterial SSU rRNA". It matches the Rfam family "Bacterial small subunit ribosomal RNA", at positions 330 to 792 of the family's 1533-position model. The record is from RNAcentral.